Melozone crissalis (California towhee) is the source of this 831-nucleotide long non-coding RNA. RefSeq lists it as uncharacterized. The transcript has 3 exons. Lineage: Eukaryota; Metazoa; Chordata; Aves; Passeriformes; Passerellidae. The record is from RefSeq and is a predicted model, not a curated record.
UAUGCAGAAACGCCCCCAAGCCCUAAAAGCGCCAACAAGAAGGCAGGAUUUACCCUCGCUUAUACGGCGCGAUUUCAAGGCCGGUGUCCGGCGGGUGACAUGUCAAGUAAAAGAUCUUGCUGCCCAAGCAGAAGAAAGCUGAAUGUCCUUCCAUCUGAGCACUAGCCUGGGGCCACCCUUCGUCCCACUGCACUUGGUCCUUUACAACUUCUGACUCCCAGAGGAAACUCCAGGACUCAAAAGGAAACCCUACAAGCAUUCAAACACCUUGGGCAUCUUUGUGGCCAACAUGAGCUCACAAGAACCCCAGGACACUGAGGGAGGAGCCAUCUCUGCUUGGCAGUAAGAAAUACUGGGGAAUGGGAAGCCUUAAUUCCCAGUGCAGGGACUGAUGAACCAUCAGGUGAGACUCUGCAGUACGUGGGCAGGGUUGUACCAUGCUUCUCCUUGCUCUUCUGUGACUGAAUAAAGCCAGCCAGGCACAGAUAUUGUUUCUCUCAAGCAGCCAGGCAUAACCCAGACUUGUUUACCUGCCUAGCAACACAUUAACUACAUCCCAGUGAGCUGGUGAUAUAUAAUCCAGCAUUCAGGCUAUUGGCAUCACCUGAUUAGUCUAUGUGUUUUGAUUAUUAAACACUGCAGAAGAAAAGUAUCUAAAGUUUUCUUGCAGUCAUAGGACUGCUCCUACCUUUACACACCACAUUGAAAUAUUCAUGGCAUUUAUAAUUUUAAAUGGAUUUGGAUUGCAAGUAACAACUUGGUGUAAACAUUUUUAAUCUUGUAAAUUGGAAGCAAAAUGGGUCCAAUUUGAAAAUUAGCUAGUAUUUUAGU